AUAGAACCCUGAUUUUGUUCAAGGAUUCCUGCUUUCUCCACACAGCGUAUGAUUCAGAGGAUGCAGCAAACCCUCCCAGCUCUAGCAAUGUGAACCAAUUGUAGCAAUUAAUAGCACUGGCAGUGAUUUAUUUAGGUGACGACACCUCCACUUCACCUGGAUAUGGCACUGAAAUUCCAGCAACCACCUUGUGACAAGCGUGAGGAUGAAAACAUCACACCCAGAAGGACAAAGCUAAGACAGUCAUGCCCAGAUACCAGAGGUCAGAAGUAGUCCCCUGCUUCUAGUUCCCGACCAUGAUAUUCAAGCACUCUCUGAAGAUGUUGUUGCCAGGGCAUUUGGUGUUGAGAUAAGAAAGCAGGAAGAUAUGCUUGGAUGAAUGGCAGAGACUCAUCAAGAAGAGCAGGGACUUUAACAUUGACAUAGUCCUCCAAACUGGGAAAUUCUUUUCAAUGGCACUUUUCUGUUUCAUAACCUUGUUUAGAUUCCCACUGCUUACUGCAUUCAGUUUAUCUUACAGAGUUUGUUAAAUAUGCCCCAACAUAUAAUUUCAGUCUCUUCUACAGCCACCCACAAAUGUUAUAUCACUGCCAAACAUUUCCUUGCCAAAUCUUUCUCUUUCACAUUCCAUUCUCACUACCUAAAAUUCUCUCGGCCUUAUUUCUCUACCAAGAAAAUUUCCAUUUAUCCUGCAGAACACAACUUCAAUGGAACCACUGUUGAGUACAGCCAUCGUCCCCUUUCCAGUGAGUAUUAGUUUCUGAUUUAGAACUUCACCUGUAUCUUACAUGGUCCACUCUUCAUUAAACUGCAAUUUAUUUAUCACUAACUUCCACCCACUAAGCUGUGAUUUCCUCAGUGUCUAGGGAUUCUUAAUUUAUCUUUAUCUCACCCUGUAUGAUAUCUGGCCUGUAAGAGAGACUUUACAAGGAUUUACUAAAUUAAUUAAUGAAUUAAACAAUUGUGGAGUAUGUAGAGUUUUGGAGAGGAAAGGGCAUAGCUAGCCACAUAGAAGUGGAAAUGAAAACAAAACAGAGGGAGAUGACCCAGGAACAAGCGAACAAAGCCCAGGUUAAAUUGUCUGGAAUCUCCUGUCAUCUGAUAAAUCUAAAACAGUGUUUAUUGAAACCUGCUGUGUGAAAGGCAUUUUUAUUUGCCCUGAAGUGCUCAUUCUCUGAUAACUUUUAAAUUUUAUUAUGGUGAGCUGACUUAAAUACAACUGUGAAAGGACAAUGUAAUGGAAAACAGAUGAUAGUUUUUGAAAAUAGAGAGGUCGGAAAGAGUGAACGUAGCCAGAACAAGUCUUCGUAAAGGACAUAAGACUUGAGUUUUACAUGGAAGACUAGGCAGGAUCCACACAGAAUCAUUAAAUAAGGAAUAUUAAAGUUAUUAAAGUUGGAAAGACCUUUACUGAUCCAUUGAAAUGGAAGUUCCAAGGCCACAGAAAUUCUGUCUGUAUUGUUUUUCAUUUUAUUCCCAUUUUCCACUACUUUACCUGGACA
RNAcentral lists this long non-coding RNA (1502 nucleotides) under Homo sapiens (human). RNAcentral describes it as "HSALNT0183130". The record is from RNAcentral. Lineage: Eukaryota; Metazoa; Chordata; Mammalia; Primates; Hominidae.